CACACCGCCCGUCACAUCACGAAAGUGGGUUGUACUAGAAGUCCGCGCCGCUAACCGUAAGGAGGCAGCGGCCCAAGGUAUGACUCAUGAUUGGGGUG
This 98-nucleotide ribosomal RNA is filed under the name uncultured bacterium. RNAcentral describes it as "partial 16S ribosomal RNA". It matches the Rfam family "Bacterial small subunit ribosomal RNA", at positions 1386 to 1482 of the family's 1533-position model. The record is from RNAcentral.